RNAcentral lists this ribosomal RNA (443 nucleotides) under uncultured bacterium. RNAcentral's name for it is "partial 16S ribosomal RNA". It matches the Rfam family "Bacterial small subunit ribosomal RNA", at positions 338 to 795 of the family's 1533-position model. The record is from RNAcentral.
CCUACGGGUGGCAGCAGUAGGGAAUCUUUCACAAUGGGCGAAAGCCUGAUGGAGCAACGCCGCGUGCAGGAUGAAGGCCUUCGGGUUGUACACUGCUUUUCUCAGGGACGAAGCAAGUGACGGUACCUGAGGAAUAAACCACGGCUAACUACGUGCCAGCAGCCGCGGUAAUACGUAGGUGGCAAGCGUUAUCCGGAUUUACUGGGUGUAAAGGGCGUGUAGGCGGGAAAGCAAGUCAGAUGUGAAAACCAUGGGCUCAACCUGUGGCCUGCAUUUGAAACUGUUUUUCUUGAGUACUGGAGAGGCAGACGGAAUUCCUAGUGUAGCGGUGAAAGGCGUAGAUAUUAGGAGGAACACCAGUGGCGAAGGCGGUCUGCUGGACAGCAACUGACGCUGAGGCGCGAAAGCGUGGGGAGCAAACAGGAUUAGAUACCCUUGUAGUC